This 451-nucleotide ribosomal RNA is filed under the name Propomacrus bimucronatus. RNAcentral's name for it is "partial 16S ribosomal RNA". It matches the Rfam family "Bacterial large subunit ribosomal RNA", at positions 1808 to 2530 of the family's 2925-position model. Lineage: Eukaryota; Metazoa; Arthropoda; Insecta; Coleoptera; Glaphyridae. The record is from RNAcentral.
CAAAAACAUGGCGUUUUGAUUAUAAUUUAAGGUCUGGCCUGCCCAAUGAGUAGUUGAAUGGCCGCGGUAUUUUGACCGUGCAAAGGUAGCAUAAUCAUUAGUUUUUUAAUUGAAAGCUGGAAUGAAUGGUCGGACGAGAAAAUAACUGUCUCAGUAUAAUUUUGUUAGAAUUUUAUUUUUAAGUUAAAAAGCUUAAAUAUGUUUAAAAGACGAGAAGACCCUAUAGAGUUUUAUACAUGUAUAUUUAUUGGUUUUAUAGUAUUUUGAUGCUAAUAUUUAGUAACGUAUUUUGUUGGGGUGACAGAAAAAUUGACUAAACUUUUUCUAAAAUUGAACAUUUAUUUAUGAUUGUUUGAUCCAUUAUUUAUGAUUAUAAGAUUAAAUUACCUUAGGGAUAACAGCGUAAUUUUUUUUGAGAGUUCUUAUCGAUAAAAGAGUUUGCGACCUCGAU